GUUGUGAAGUAAGUCCAGUUAGUUUUUACUUAUGCAGAGUGGUAAGUUACCUUUUCUUUGCACCUUAAUCAAAAGAAAAUGAUGCAUUUUUUACUUUCAGGCAGUACUUUGUUCACAUGGAUGACACCGUGCCACAAAAGGUGGGCUCUUAACUCUGCUGGCUGUAUUGGGACUUAAAUAUUGAUAUUCUUGAUUGGUACUUAACUAACCAGAAACCAACUUUUGGGCGUUGGGUUUUUUUUUUUUGGGGGCAGGGGGUUGUGGCAUGGAAAGAAUUCAGGUGCACGGUUGUCAUCCGUGUAUUCCAUAAAGAAUUUAAGAAUGCAAAAGUGGACAAUUAAAGCUGGAUUAUAUCUUUUUCUUCUGGAGCAUAAUGGAGUAGCAUUCGCUCAUUUUUUCCCCUGUA
Molecule: long non-coding RNA, 406 nt
Filed under: Coffea arabica (coffee)
Lineage: Eukaryota; Viridiplantae; Streptophyta; Magnoliopsida; Gentianales; Rubiaceae
Description: long non-coding RNA (CARA_LNC006078)
Source: RNAcentral